CCUACGGGAGGCAGCAGUGAGGAAUAUUGGUCAAUGGGCGCGAGCCUGAACCAGCCAAGUCGCGUGAGGGAGGACGGCCCUACGGGUUGUAAACCUCUUUUGCCGGGGAGCAACGGGCGCCACGUGUGGCGUCACUGAGAGUACCCGGAGAAAAAGCAUCGGCUAACUCCGUGCCAGCAGCCGCGGUAAUACGGAGGAUGCGAGCGUUAUCCGGAUUUAUUGGGUUUAAGGGGUGCGUAGGCGGGUCGUUAAGUCAGUGGGAAAAUUGCGGGGCUAAACCACUUCCCGCCAUUGAAACUGGCGUUCUUGAGUGGAAGAGAAGUAUGCGGAAUGCGUGGUGUAGCGGUGAAAUGCAUAGAUAUCACGCAGAAAACCGAUUGCGAAGGCAGCAUGCCGGCUUCCGACUGACGCUGAAGCACGAAAGCGUGGGGAUCGAACAGGAUUAGAUACCCGUGUAGUC
RNAcentral lists this ribosomal RNA (460 nucleotides) under uncultured bacterium. RNAcentral describes it as "partial 16S ribosomal RNA". It matches the Rfam family "Bacterial small subunit ribosomal RNA", at positions 338 to 795 of the family's 1533-position model. The record is from RNAcentral.